UACGAAGGGGGCUAGCGUUGCUCGGAAUGACUGGGCGUAAAGGGCGCGUAGGCGGCCUUGACAGUCGGGCGUGAAAUUCCUGGGCUCAACCUGGGGGCUGCGUUCGAUACGUCUGGGCUGGAGUAUGGCAGAGGGGGGUGGAAUUCCGCGUGUAGCAGUGAAAUGCGUAGAGAUGCGGAGGAACACCGAUGGCGAAGGCAGCCCCCUGGGCCAAUACUGACGCUCAGGCACGAAAGCGUGGGGAGCAAACAGG
This 253-nucleotide ribosomal RNA is filed under the name uncultured bacterium. RNAcentral's name for it is "partial 16S ribosomal RNA". It matches the Rfam family "Bacterial small subunit ribosomal RNA", at positions 524 to 776 of the family's 1533-position model. The record is from RNAcentral.